UACGUAGGGGGCAAGCGUUGUCCGGAUUUAUUGGGCGUAAAGAGCGUGUAGGCGGCUUUACAGGUCCGUUGUGAAAACUCGAGGCUCAACCUCGAGACGCCGGUGGAAACCGUAAAGCUAGAGUCCGGAAGAGGAGAGUGGAAUUCCUGGUGUAGCGGUGAAAUGCGCAGAUAUCUGGAGGAACACCGGUGGCGAAGGCGGCAUCCUGGACCAACACUGACACUGAGGAGCGAAAGCCAGGGGAGCAAACAGG
Molecule: ribosomal RNA, 253 nt
Filed under: uncultured bacterium
Lineage: Bacteria
Description: partial 16S ribosomal RNA
Rfam family: Bacterial small subunit ribosomal RNA
Source: RNAcentral